UGGGGAAUAUUGCGCAAUGGGCGAAAGCCUGACGCAGCGACGCCGCGUGGGGGAUGAAGGUCUUCGGAUUGUAAACCCCUUUCGGGAGGGAAGAUGGAAUGGGGUAACCCAUUCGGACGGUACCUCCAGAAGCAGCCACGGCUAACUUCGUGCCAGCAGCCGCGGUAAUACGAAGGUGGCAAGCGUUAUUCGGAUUUACUGGGCGUACAGGGAGCGUAGGCGGUUCGGUAAGCCCUUUGUGAAAUCUCCAGGCUUAACCUGGAAAAGUCGGAGGGGACUGCCGGGCUAGAGGACGGGAGAGGAGCGCGGAAUUCCCGGUGUAGCGGUGAAAUGCGUAGAGAUCGGGAGGAAGGCCGGUGGCGAAGGCGGCGCUCUGGAACGUUUCUGACGCUGAGGCUCGAAAGCGUGGGGAGCAAACAGGAUUAGAUACCCCGGUAGUCCCUGAGCGGGCUGGCAAGGCGCAU
Molecule: ribosomal RNA, 464 nt
Filed under: uncultured bacterium
Lineage: Bacteria
Description: bacterial SSU rRNA
Rfam family: Bacterial small subunit ribosomal RNA
Source: RNAcentral